RNAcentral lists this long non-coding RNA (6674 nucleotides) under Nicotiana benthamiana. Its description in RNAcentral is "long non-coding RNA (NBEN_LNC032911)". The record is from RNAcentral. Lineage: Eukaryota; Viridiplantae; Streptophyta; Magnoliopsida; Solanales; Solanaceae.
GAGAAUAUACCAAGAUCAUACAUAAUGUCGUUGUUUUCCGCCCCAUGUAAGUGAAAUUCUUCUUUUAAUUAAUUUGUCCUCCUCUUAAUGUAUUCUCUAUUGUCAUUCAUUACUGGCAAUGUUCUUUUUCGUGUAAUUACUGUCGUGGUUCUUGCUUGUUUGGUUGUAAUUUGAAAGUCUGUUCGAUUAAUUCCUCUACGCACCCAACGUUCAAUGCAUGGGGUUCGUCCAACAAUUGUUUAUGUUAUUGUCUAUAAUUAGCAGCAACAACAACCCAGUAUAAUCCCACAAGUGGGGUCUGCGUACGGUAAUAUGUACGCAAACUUUAUCCCUACCCCGAGGGGCAGAGAGGCUAUUUCCAAGAGACCCUUGGCUCAAAAAAGCAACAAGAGACGAUAUAUUAGUACUAUCAAUAGACUUAUGAUAAAAUAACAUAAAAUACAUAACAUAAAAUAACAAAAUAACAGCAAUAUAAGAAAUAUAGAAAAUACGAAGAAAAAAAAGACAAAGAGGAAGAAAGAGAAAAAGAAAAGGAUGCAAGGUAUACUAAUAUCCAACAGAUAAAGCCCUGCAUUAAUAGCUGACCAGUAGCAUCCUAAGACUAAUUCCUAAUUGGCUAGUCUCACUCUAGUGCGCUGUAGAAAUAUCCACAAAUUCCCCUAGCCUACAACCUUAAUGCUCGACCUCUAUAAUUCUCUAUCAAGGGUCAUGUCCUCAGUAAUCCUAAGUCGCGCCAUGUCCUGCAUGAUCAUCUCUCCCCAAUACUUCUUUGGUCUCCUUCUACCUUUCCUCUAACCUACCACAACCAGUCGCUCACACCUCCUUAUCAGUGCAUUAGUUCUCCUCCUCUGGAUGUGCCCGAACUAUCCGAGUCUUGCUUCCCGCAUCUUGUCCUCCAUAGAGGCCACAUCCACCUUCUCUUGAAUAUCUUCAUUCCUAGUCUUAUCCAUCAUUGUGUGCCCGCACAUCCACCUCAACAUCCUCAUCUCUGCUACUUUCAUCUUCUAGAUGUGUGAGUUCUUAACCGGCCAACACUCAAUCCCAUACAACAUGGCAAGUGCUCUAUAAAACUUACCUUUUAGUAGCGGUGGCACUUUCUUGUCACACAGGACUCCCAUCGCUAACCUCUGUUUCAUCCACCCCAUCCCGAUACGGUGUGUGACAUCCUCACCGAUCUCCCUGAUCCCCUGAAUAACUGACCCAAGGUAUUUAAAACUACCUCUCUUAGGGAUAACUUGAGAGUCAAGCCUCACUUCCACUCCCACUUUUGCCGGCUCGGCCCCAAAUUUGCACUCCAGGUAUUCCGUCUUCGUCCUGCUCAACAUGGAACCUUUAGACUCAAGGGCAUGUCUCCAAACUUCUAGCCUCUCGUUGACGCUGCGUCAUGUCUCAUCAAUUAGAACCAGUGUUGUGAAAAGCGAGCGCUUCGUCGCUUAAAGCGCGAAGCGACUCGAGGCGACAAGUUGUCGAUUUUUACUGCCUAAAGCGAUGCGACCACCAGAAGUGCUCGCUUAACAGUGAAAAACGAGGCGAGGCGACGCGAUCGAAGCGAGAGAAGCAAUCGAUUACCUGAAAAAAUCGAUCGUUUAGUUAAAAACAGAGAUCGACCCAGUUCUGGAAAUUAGGGUUUCCACUUUCCAUUGACUGAAAUUGAAAAAAGAGCUCGACCAACGUCCCCUCUUCUUCUCCAGUGACGGAAAUUAGGGUUUCCAUCUUCACCGACGAUCGACGACCAACGACCCGACGGAAAUUAAAAACAGAGCUCGACCAACGACGGAAAUUAGGGUUUCCAUCUUCACCGACGACCGACGAGAUACCCAGGUAUUUUUUCUUCUCCUUUCUUCUUGUUUUUUCUUUCUUCUUCAUCUUCUUCUUCCAUCUUCUUCUUCUUUCUCUCUGUCGACGUCGACGACAAGCUUUUCCAUCGUUUUUUCAUUUUUUUUUUCAUGUUCGAUCAGCGUCGACCGACGUCGACGACGAGCUCUCAGUUUCACAGUUUCACUUUAUUCUUUUUCAUUAGUUUUUUGUCCAAUUCUUUUCAUUUUUUUUAAAUGGUACUGUAGCAGUAGCAUAUAUAUAUAUAUAUUUAAUAAUUGUAUUAUUAUUUUUAAUUUCAGUUUAAUUUCAGUGUAUUUUCAGUUUAAUUUCAGUGUAUUUCAGUGUAUUUCAGUUUAUUAAUUAUUUUUUCGCUUAUAUCUUAAUAGGUAUAAUUAAAUGUCUCAAAGUUCGAAAGAGAAAGACCCGGCUUGUCUUAUAGUUUAUGGAUGGUUUGUGGAUAAUUUGGUGGUGCCUAGUACCUACUUUUAAGUAUUUAAAUUGAUAUUUUUGAUUAUUUAUAAUUUUACAUAAUGUUUUUUAAGAAUUGCACUUCACUUCAAAAAAGCGUGCGCUUCUUUGCGCUUUGCGCUUUGAAGCGAGGCGAGCCCUUGUCGCUUUUUUGAAUUGCGCUUCACUUCAAAAAAGCGUGCGCUUCUUUGCGCUUUGAAGCGAGACGAGCCCUUGUCGCUUUUUUGCGCUUUGCGCUCUCCAAAACACUGAUUAGAACUAUGUCAUCAGCAAAUAGCAUGCACCAUGGCACCUCCCCUUGAAUAUGAUGCGUUAUGGCAUCCAUCACUGGGGCAAAUAGGAAAGGGCUGAACGCAAACCCUUAGUGCAACCCCGUAACAACCCAAAAAUUGCUCGGAGUCGCCUCCUACUAUCCUAACCCGAGUCUUAGCUCCAUUAUACAUGUCUUUAAUCACUGUAAUGUAGGCAAUCAAGACCCUUUUAACCUCUAAGAAGCUCCAUAAGACCUUCCUAGGAACUUUGUCGUACCCUUUCACUAGAUUGAUAAACACCAUAUGGAGAUCCUUCUCCUAAUAAGGUGGAUAGCUUCUGUGGUAGAUUGCCUCGGCAUGAACCCGAACUAGUUGUCUGAAAUAGACAUCGUCCUUCACACUUUCAUUUCUACCACUCUCUUCCAGACUUUCAUGGUAUGACUUAGUAAUUUGAUACCCCUAUAGUUGUUACAGCUCUGGAUAUCGCCUUUGUUCUUAUACAAUGGAACCAUUGUACUCCACCUCCACUCUUCAGGCAUCCUAUUAGUCUCGAAUAUAACAUUAAACAACCUAGUAAGCCAUUCCAAACUUGCUCUACCCACACACCUCUAAAGUUCCACCGGAAUUUCGUCUAGCCCGGUAGCUCUACCCCUCCUCAUCUUACGCAUUGCCUCCAUGACCUCAUUGACCUCAAUGUCCCUACAAUAACUUAAUUUACGGGGGCUGUCGACAUUCCUCAAUUCACCUAGUACCAUAUCCUCAUCCCCUUCUUCAUUUAGAAGUUUAUCAAAGUAGGUCUGCCAUCUUCUCUUAAUUUGGUCAUCCCCUGUCAAAUCUUUGCCGUCCUCAUCUUUUAUGCACCUCACUUGGUCCAGAUCCCGAGUCGUCCUCUCUCUCACCUUAGCAAGUCGGAAUAACUUCUUCUCCCCGCCUUUGUUCCCUAGUUCUUCAUACAGACGAGCAAAAGCUGCCCUCUUAGCCUCCGUUACUGCCAUCUUCGCCUCCUUCCUAGCUAGAUUAUAUGCCUCAUUGUUCGCUCUCUUCUCCUCUUCGCCAGUGCUCCCUAGUAACAGCAGGUAAGCCGUCUUCUUCGCUUCCACUUUACCUUGGACAACUGCAUUCCACCACGAGUCUCCUUUGUUGCCACCGGUACGGCCCGAAGAUAUCCUAACACCUCUCUCGCCGCCUUCCUUAUAUAGUCCGCCGUCGUCGACCACAUAGUGUUUGCAUCCCCACUACUUCUCCAAGCUCCCAUUGCCGAUAACCUUCCUUCCAACUCCUGAGCUUUAUCCUUAGUCAAGGCGCCCCACCUAAUCUUCGGGUGGCCUCGUACUGGCCUCUUCUUCCUCCUUAUCAUAAUGCUAAUGUCCAUCAACAAAUGCCCCACCUAAUCCUCGGGCGGCCUCGUACUGUCUUCUUCUUCUUCCUUAUUACAAUAUCAAUGUCCAUCACAGAAAGCCUAUGUUGCGUUGCAAGGGCCUCACUUGGGAUACUGUCUGUAAUUAGCCUUGUAAGGUUAUGUUAAAAGAGAUGACUAUGAGACUAUAAACUCUGAAAAUUGCUUGACAAACCAUUGACUCUUCAAAAGUUACUCUUCAUUAAUCACAAAUUUGAAUUUGAAUUUCUAAUAUCCACUAAGAACGACAUAAUGAUAGUCGAUUUUAAUGGACCUUUCAAUCUUUAGGUAUUAACUUUUGCUAGGUCUUCAUUAUUCAAUCAUCCUUAUGUCUCUUUGUAUCUUAUUUUUCUUGACGAGCGAGGGUCUAUCGGAAACAACCUCUCUACCCAGAGGCGAAGCUAUGUUAGUCCAAGGGUGGUCAACGUAACUUAACACCCUUCGACUAAAAGUAAAAUAUUAUUUGUCAUUGAUUAAAAAAUAGACUUUGAACAUCCUUGCACAACUUACCUGCAAAAGGUGUUCAAAAUUUGAACACCUUAAUAGGAUUUCCUAUCUUCGCCACUGUCUCUACCCCUCGAGGUAGGAGUAAGGUCCGCGUAUACGCUACCGUCCCUAGAUCCCACUCAUGGAAUUUCACUGGGUUGUUGUUGUUCUUCUUCUCUUCUUCUCUUGCUCGUGAGGUACAUAACUUGUUACUAUAAUAGUUAAGUAUUACCGAGUGAACUACCUAUUAGGAACUGAUUCACACAUUACUCUUUUAGUUGUGACUGUUGUCAAAAUUUUAAAUUGUUGAAAGCAAACAAUUCUAGAGUUGCAUUAUGAAAUUGUUAGUUAUUUCUAUAAGACGAAUAGUUAUUUAUUAAUUUAUCUAAAAAAUUGGUCUUCCACAAAAGAAAAGUAUGUUCUUUGAAGAGAAAGUUUGAAAUUAUAGUAUUAAAAGAUGUUUCAUGAUUUUAUAUAAAUAUAUAUAUAUAUAUAUANNNNNNNNNNNNNNNNNNNNNNNNNNNNNNNNNNNNNNNNNNNNNNNNNNNNNNNNNNNNNNNNNNNNNNNNNNNNNNNNNNNNNNNNNNNNNNNNNNNNNNNNNNNNNNNNNNNNNNNNNNNNNNNNNNNNNNNNNNNNNNNNNNNNNNNNNNNNNNNNNNNNNNNNNNNNNNNNNNNNNNNNNNNNNNNNNNNNNNNNNNNNNNNNNNNNNNNNNNNNNNNNNNNNNNNNNNNNNNNNNNNNNNNNNNNNNNNNNNNNNNNNNNNNNNNNNNNNNNNNNNNNNNNNNNNNNNNNNNNNNNNNNNNNNNNNNNNNNNNNNNNUAAUAGGCCAUAUAUAUAUAUAUAUAUAUAUAUAUAUAUAUAUAUAUAAAUCAUAUAUAUAUGAGGUUUCCUCUCCUAAAGAAUGUUUUUUCACUUUUGAUAUUAGCUUUUUAGGAUGUUGUAGGUAAUUUUCGUAUUAUGAUAUCUUAUUUACUUUUUGUAUUAUUCAUAGUUUUGUUAUAAUUUAUGUUAAAAUUUUCAAUAAUUUAUUUUAUUUUGAUGUUUUAUGAUGUAUGUAUUUUUGUAAUUUUUUUUAUUUUACACUAUUUUGAAAAUUUAGUAAUUAUAUAAAAUUUAACGAUAUGUGAGGCUUAAGCUCCAUGUCUUGAGAUUUACCCCGACCUCGUCUUAAGUAAAAUGCCUUACCUCACGAAUGAGUUCUUUCUAUACUUACAUUACUUGCUUUUAUCCUCCUCUGUCUUUGGAUAUUCUUGUUUGGGUUUAAAUUUAUGUGUGGGUCUUAAUGCAGUAGAGGAGCCAUAUACAACAAAAUGGAUUCAAUCUUAUACUGCGUAAAUAGGAUAAAAGUAAAAAAUUUAAAUACAUUACUACUAUAUAGAAGAGGGAAGGAGAGGAGCUUCUGGUCAAAGUGAAUUGACAAAAAAACCAUUUCAUUUCAGCUUAAAAAGUUUGAAUCCCCUUUAACAUAAGAGAAAUACAGGAUCAAAUCCCCGGAGUGAUGUUUUUGAACAUUUUUGAAUCUCCUUGAUAGCACCUUUAAGUUUCAGAAAUUUGUGUUUUCAAGAGAGCUGAAUAUUCAUGCUAUCAAAAUGUAAUUUAUCGAAAGAAUCUUGGUAUUACUCUCUAAACUAAUAAAAUAGGAACGAGGAAGAGAGUGCGAGGAUACUGGAUGAAUAUUCUUUGUCACACUCACACUGCAUAAAAGCUUCCCAUGAUUGUACAAUUGUUGGACAUUUAAUGUUAUGCUAAAAAUUUACAAGUAAUCAUCACAUUAAUGAUGGAUGUAAAUAUUGUGUGGAUUUAAAUUCUGCUUCAGCACGCAUGCAUGUAAUUUGUAAAUCACAAUAUGUACCUCGCAUGCUUUCUUCUGUUUUGCAUAGUUUUCUUCUUCUGUAUGUUUCGUGCUUCGACUACUUUUUCAGCUGGUUGAUUACAUUAUAUUCUCUCCAGAACAAAUUGAUUAUAUAAUUAUAGUGACUGAUAGUUCUCUCUCUCUCUCUCUCUUCUCAUACUUUUCUUCUCACAGCUUCAAGUCCGUCAUUUAGUAGUAGCAAUCUGUUUGGAAUAGAGCAUUUGGAGCAACCUCAUCAGCAGUAUUUGCUCAACCUAUUGGAAGUUCAGUGUCUUUUGGUGGUAAAAACGAGUAUAACUAGAUUAGUUAUUUUCCUUUUAGCAUACUGAUCUUGGGAUAGGCAAUUGACUUUCCCGAAGAAACCGCAGAAUAUAUUCAUGUAUUGUUAAUUAGAAGAUUUUU